UACGGAGGGAGCUAGCGUUGUUCGGAAUUACUGGGCGUAAAGCGCGCGUAGGCGGCUUUGUAAGUUAGAGGUGAAAGCCCGGAGCUCAACUCCGGAACUGCCUUUAAAACUGCAUCGCUUGAAUCCAGGAGAGGUGAGUGGAAUUCCGAGUGUAGAGGUGAAAUGCGCAGAUAUCAGGAAGAACACCCGUGGCUAAGGCGGCUCUCUAGUACGGUACUGACGCUGAGACGCGAAAGCGUGGGGAGCGAACAGG
This 253-nucleotide ribosomal RNA is filed under the name uncultured bacterium. RNAcentral describes it as "partial 16S ribosomal RNA". It matches the Rfam family "Bacterial small subunit ribosomal RNA", at positions 524 to 776 of the family's 1533-position model. The record is from RNAcentral.